CCUACGGGCGGCAGCAGUGGGGAAUAUUGGACAAUGGGGGCAACCCUGAUCCAGCCAUGCCGCGUGUGUGAAGAAGGCCCUCGGGUUGUAAAGCACUUUCAGUGAGGAAGAACGCCUGGUGGUUAAUACCCAUCAGGAAAGACAUCACUCACAGAAGAAGCACCGGCUAACUCCGUGCCAGCAGCCGCGGUAAUACGGAGGGUGCGAGCGUUAAUCGGAAUUACUGGGCGUAAAGCGCGCGUAGGUGGCUUGAUAAGCCGGUUGUGAAAGCCCCGGGCUCAACCUGGGAACGGCAUCCGGAACUGUCAAGCUAGAGUGCAGGAGAGGAAGGUAGAAUUCCCGGUGUAGCGGUGAAAUGCGUAGAGAUCGGGAGAAAUACCAGUGGCGAAGGCGGCCUUCUGGACUGACACUGACACUGAGGUGCGAAAGCGUGGGUAGCAAACAGGAUUAGAUACCCUGGUAGUC
RNAcentral lists this ribosomal RNA (465 nucleotides) under Vreelandella stevensii. Its description in RNAcentral is "partial 16S ribosomal RNA". It matches the Rfam family "Bacterial small subunit ribosomal RNA", at positions 338 to 795 of the family's 1533-position model. The record is from RNAcentral. Lineage: Bacteria; Pseudomonadati; Pseudomonadota; Gammaproteobacteria; Oceanospirillales; Halomonadaceae.